UCCGGUUUUAACGCCACUUGGUCUCUUCUAUUUCAUUUAUGCGACUGAUCCCUUUUGACAUCUGUGGCUCUCUUCGUUUCUGCUGUGCUGCAAUUAAAUUUACUCUCAUCCCUAGAAUCCAAAACUCCCUCAUACGUCGCUCCUCUCCAUGCCCGUCCCUUGCUUUUCAUCCUGGCCUCUACUGCAAUCACGCCGCUUUCCCUGCUUCCGACAUCGUCCUGUUUAUUGGGGAGUACUUAUUGGAACUACAGCAAAGCUGCCAGCUUUGCUUUCUUUAUCAGUCAUUAGAAGAAUAGUGGAAGCAGAUGAAUUUAUGAGGGUUGGCUUAUAGAUGGAUGGCUUCCUAAUCUGUAUGACUACCAUGUUCACCGUUACUAUUCAGGUUCGUCCAAAACUUGCUCAAAGAGCAGACUGUUAGUGAUUUGAGCUGGUUGUAAAUAGUAUCAUCACUUUGUAAAUAACACUUUAAAAUCAUCUCUCUUACUGUAAACAUGCUAUAUGUAAAAUAAUCACCCUAAACGGUCUUAAAACUA
Molecule: long non-coding RNA, 533 nt
Organism: Pyrus x bretschneideri (Chinese white pear)
Lineage: Eukaryota; Viridiplantae; Streptophyta; Magnoliopsida; Rosales; Rosaceae
Exons: 2
Source: RefSeq, a predicted model, not a curated record